Molecule: long non-coding RNA, 740 nt
Organism: Frieseomelitta varia
Lineage: Eukaryota; Metazoa; Arthropoda; Insecta; Hymenoptera; Apidae
Exons: 3
Source: RefSeq, a predicted model, not a curated record
CCUUCAUUGAUUCAAGGCAACGAUGAAUACUGUAAUUUUUAUAUUUUUUACAAAAUGGAACUACGGUUUUGCACGUACGACACCACAAAGAUCUUGAAAGUGCCACUUGAACGAAACUUCUAGUUAUUCCAACGAAACAAAUAGGAAUCAUACAUGGGACUACGAAGCAGUGAAAGGCAGUCGAAAGUAAGGAGUGAAGUGGAAUAAGCAAGGCGGUACUAUUUAUUGCCUAUUCGAUGAUAAACGACAGAAAAAAAAGGUAUCAUAUAACAGGGCGAAGCCGUUUUAAAAAAAGUAAUUUAUUCCUCUUCAACGAGUUUCAUUGCCAGACUUAUUUAAGUCCAAUCAUUCGAUAUGACUUGUGUAUGUUUUGUUACACGUAGUAAAAAAAAUUCGCAUACCCUAGGAAAAUGUUGCCUUCAGGGGAACGAAACGUUACAGAGUUUUAUAUCAAGAUUACAUUUCGUCUUGCAAUGGGAUAAUAUUUGUUAAAGAGAAUGGCGAACUUUUCUAUGUGCUGUCUCGACCAAGAACUCGGCUAUUAAUGGCAAUAACAGCCAAAGAAGAAGGGAAAAAGAAAAGUCUCAGGAUCAUUGGGAAUCCACUGGUUCCGUCAGUGUCACUUUCUCGACUUUUCAUUCGAUCAUUUUUUUCCGCCAGCGAAAUUGAAUGUACUUCCAAUAAACGUAUGUAUCUAUGUAUGUAUGUACGAGAUAUUUUUUUUUUAUUGUUAGAGUUAG